AUGAAUGUCUUGGCCUGGACCUGUUGAGGACUGGGGUUGGACUCGACAGUUGGCGAAUUGAGAGACCUGGUACGGUCCUACAACCCAGCGGUGGUGUUCUUGUCAGAGACAAAGAAGAGUGCAAAAGCGAUGGAGAGACUCAAAUGGAGCCUUGGGUUCUCGCACGGGGUGGCGGUGAGUUGUGCAGGAAAGAGUGGAGGAUUGACGCUGUGGUGGAGAGAUCAUGUGAAGGUAAUGGUCAGACCUUGGUGUCAAUACUAUACUAGAUCACUGAUGGCGCGCGUUGCCGCGCCCGUCUAUUUUGAUAAUCAAAUUAUAGGAAUAAACACAUAUAUUUGUAUAUGUACAUAUUUUUUGAAAGUAACAACAUCUUAUUAA
This 378-nucleotide ribosomal RNA is filed under the name Triticum aestivum (bread wheat). RNAcentral's name for it is "partial small subunit ribosomal RNA". The record is from RNAcentral. Lineage: Eukaryota; Viridiplantae; Streptophyta; Magnoliopsida; Poales; Poaceae.